AUCACUUAAAUAAUUACUAUCACUAUGAAAACUUUAAUGGCAUUUUGUUUUACUAUCAUCUUCAUCAUAUCUUUUGUUCAUUGUCUUCAUACAACUGCUGAAAGUCUGGGUUAUCAACCUCGCCGACUUUUUCGACCAUCAGUCAGAUGCUACAAAUAUAACCCGUGUGAUACUGAAAGGUGCGAUAGUGUUUGUAGUAGACACAAAUAUGAUCAUGGUUUUUGUCUUGGUACUGCAAAAUGUUGUUGUAUACCACCUCUAAGAUGAAAUGAAUCACAUGUAUUGGUAUCUGCUUAAAAUAAUAAAUCUACAAUUUUUA
Long non-coding RNA from Camelina sativa (false flax), 319 nucleotides. RefSeq lists it as uncharacterized. The record is from RefSeq and is a predicted model, not a curated record. NCBI's taxonomy places the organism in Eukaryota, Viridiplantae, Streptophyta, Magnoliopsida, Brassicales, Brassicaceae.